This 73-nucleotide transfer RNA is filed under the name Notamacropus eugenii (tammar wallaby). Its description in RNAcentral is "tRNA-Thr (AGT) (tRNA-Thr-AGT-5-1)". It matches the Rfam family "tRNA". Rfam says of the family: Transfer RNA (tRNA) molecules are approximately 80 nucleotides in length. Their secondary structure includes four short double-helical elements and three loops (D, anti-codon, and T loops). Lineage: Eukaryota; Metazoa; Chordata; Mammalia; Diprotodontia; Macropodidae. The record is from RNAcentral.
GGCCUCAUGGCUUAGUGGUUAAAGCGCCUGCCUAGUAAGCAGGAUAUCCUGGGUUCAAAUCCCAGUGGGGCCU